UGGGCAACCUGCCCCUCUCUCUGGGAUAACCCCGGGAAACCGGGGCUAAUACCGGAUACUCCGGUCGAACCGCAUGGCUCGAUCGGGAAAGCUCCGACGGUCUGGGAUGGGCCCGCGGCCUAUCAGCUUGUUGGUGGGGUAACGGCCUACCAAGGCGACGACGGGUAGCCGGCCUGAGAGGGUGACCGGCCACACUGGGACUGAGACACGGCCCAGACUCCUACGGGAG
RNAcentral lists this ribosomal RNA (229 nucleotides) under uncultured bacterium. Its description in RNAcentral is "partial 16S ribosomal RNA". It matches the Rfam family "Bacterial small subunit ribosomal RNA", at positions 118 to 347 of the family's 1533-position model. The record is from RNAcentral.